Molecule: long non-coding RNA, 558 nt
Organism: Suricata suricatta (meerkat)
Lineage: Eukaryota; Metazoa; Chordata; Mammalia; Carnivora; Herpestidae
Exons: 4
Source: RefSeq, a predicted model, not a curated record
CUAGUAUAUAUACAACUCUACCAACUUGAUUUUCUUCUUCAAGGCCGUUGUGGAAUAGAGACAAACAGCAAUAAAGAGCAGAGGGCAUACUAUGAGUAAACACACCAAGAUCUCUUGAAGACAGUCACAUUUAGUACCAUUUGGUUCUCAGACUUUGGGGCCUCACAGAUGAGUUACUCACAAAUCAGUUUCACAGAUUUGAAAACAGAUGAGAAAAAAAAACAACAGAAGCCAAAGAUUGGAUGGCAUAUGUGAAGUCAACCCCAGAGCUGAUGUUUCAGAGUCAGGAGCUGAACUUAGACUGGCCUGGUUGCAGAGUUCAUGUUCAUUCCGCUUGCCUGUGAGCUCCACAUACAUCAAACCUUCCAGGCAGUCGUUUUGACUCUCCUACAAUGUGGAAGGAAGUGGUGUUUAGUGCGGCCAUCGAAACCUCUGUAAUGUACCCUGUAGCAGUAGUGUGGGCUGAGACAACAUUCAGAGUCCCGGUUCUAGAAGGAGCUGUGGCUCAUACAAUCUUGCAGAUGAACUUACUCAUAGAGAUCAAAAUAAAAAUUAUUU